CCCUGUUUUUUCAAAAACAUGGCUCCUUGUUUUCUUAUAUAGGGAGUCGGACCUGCUCGGUGAAUAUAUUUUAACAGCCGCGGUACUCUGACCGUGCAAAGGUAGCAUAAUCAUUUGCCUUAUAAUUGAAGGCUAGUAUGAAUGGUUUGACGAGAAUUAAGCUGUCUCUUUUUAACUAAAUAUAACUUUAUUAAGAGGUGAAGAAGCCUGUAUUUCAUUGAAAGACAAGAAGACCCUAUCGAGCUUUAAAGAAUUUAGUAGAUUUACCAUAUAUUAAUAAAAAAGUAAAGCAACUAAAUAUUUUGGUUGGGGCGACUGAGGAACAAACAAAGCUUCCUUUAUGCUAAUUAAAACUUACAAGUAUUGAUCCAAUUUAUUUGAUUAAAGAAAUUAGUUACCGUAGGGAUAACAGCAUAAUCUCCUUUGAGAGUUCUCAUCGAAAAGGGGGUUUGUGACCUCGAUGUUGGACCAGAAUACCCAGAAGAUGCAGCCGUCUUCAAUGGUUGGUCUGUUCGACCAUUAAAAUUCUACAUGAUCUGA
Molecule: ribosomal RNA, 540 nt
Filed under: Reishia luteostoma
Lineage: Eukaryota; Metazoa; Mollusca; Gastropoda; Neogastropoda; Muricidae
Description: Thais luteostoma partial 16S ribosomal RNA
Rfam family: Bacterial large subunit ribosomal RNA
Source: RNAcentral